GGAGGAGGGAGCUGAAGAACAGACAUUAUAACCUGACAUCGCCCUGCUUUUUCUUUUGCGGUCUCCAAGCGUUUGGCAAUAAUAUUUAUGCUGUUUUAGGUAGAAAAGUUCGGGAGUGAGCAAUGGGAGGAGAAGCUGCUUAGAGGCACUGCAUCCAGCAGGAGCUAAGCCCUGGGAGGGCUGAGAGGGACAGCAGUGCCGUGUCAGUUUGGGGACAUAGUUCCAUGAAUGCACCCAGUGGGAAUGUGCGCUCUGCUCGAAGUGGCUUGGGAAGGCAAAAUGCAUCUCAGCUCACUGCCGGGCUUAUUGUGUAAGCAGCCUGAAUUUGUUCUGGAGGGGAAAAAAGGAUCUUUCUGGCAAGCACUACACUCUCCUGGGUUUCGAUGCUGUGAGAAUUACGAUUCAUCCAGAGUUCAAGCCUUUGGUUAAGACAAUGUCCUCAGGGUUAUGAGGGAGCAAUCAGCAUCUGCCAAGCGGCGAGAGUACCAAAGCUGCCAUUAGUAUUUCCCGAAUCUAAAUGCUUUGAUUUCCUCCUCACCUCUGAAGGACGAUCCUGCACAGCAGCUGCAUCAACACAGAUACUGCUGUGGGGUUGUUGCCUUCUGCAAGAGUACCUGGGACCCUCCACCAAAACCUUCUGCCUUCCUGCUAAAUGAUUGAAGAAUAUCUUGUAAAUCAUUUACCUCUCCCUGCUGCUGGCUUUCUGUUGAUAGUGUUUACUCUGCUUCCAACACGACGGCAAAGUUAAAUUUUCAUCUUGCAGAAAAAAAAUAAAUAAAAAGAACAAAAU
This 790-nucleotide long non-coding RNA is filed under the name Coturnix japonica (Japanese quail). RNAcentral's name for it is "lncRNA (ENSCJPG00005001311.1)". Lineage: Eukaryota; Metazoa; Chordata; Aves; Galliformes; Phasianidae. The record is from RNAcentral.